AGUGGGAAAAAGAGAGCGCCACACAAGUGAUAACGCGUCUUUUGGCACUGCAACUUUAUUUGCGCACUUUCCAAACAAAUUAACCCGAAUUAACGUCAAGCGGAAGUCAAACAAAAGGAUAUAGUCGUGCGAUCCGCUCGCUGAUCGGUGGCAUUAACGUCUAACUUAACCCGUGAAAAGUCGACUGGCGACUGAACGUGAAAAACUUCAAUUGAAGCGCUCCGAUCGCAGUUACAUACAUGCAUACAUACGUACUUAAGUGUAACAUACAGACAUACACAUGUACAUGUACUUGCUAUGUAUGUAUGCUUCUCUGCCGACGUCGGUGAAUGUGACCCUUUCGAGUUCCACUUUGACCAUGGCCAACAUUUGAAAGGGUAUGCUCGACCAUUGGGUCGGCUUAAUUAUAAAUAUGUACGUAGGUAACAAUUAUAAGUGUUUGUACACCAACGGAAUGAGAAAGAGUUGGAUAAUUACAGUUGCCAGGCAUUAGUUGCAAAUUCCAGAUGUGGAAAGUGCAUGUCUGCAAAAUAAUAAAUACUGACUAACAGGUUUGAAUUGGUAGGAAUUUCAAUCAUCAACGGAAAUGUUAUACAAAUUUUAACUUACAUGUGUGCAUAACACAUUCUUUAAAAACAAUAAGAAUACUUACAUAGUAAAUAUACAUACGUGCAAAGGGAUGAACAU
This is a non-coding RNA of Drosophila melanogaster (fruit fly), 687 nucleotides long. NCBI's taxonomy places the organism in Eukaryota, Metazoa, Arthropoda, Insecta, Diptera, Drosophilidae. The record is from Ensembl.